Long non-coding RNA from Hypanus sabinus (Atlantic stingray), 2752 nucleotides. RefSeq lists it as uncharacterized. NCBI's taxonomy places the organism in Eukaryota, Metazoa, Chordata, Chondrichthyes, Myliobatiformes, Dasyatidae. The transcript has 3 exons. The record is from RefSeq and is a predicted model, not a curated record.
GUGGGUGAGGGGAGGGGCUGAGAAUCAGGUGUGUCAGGAGGUGGGUGAGGGGAAGGGGCUGAGAAUCAGGUGUGUCAGGAGGUUGGUGAGGGAGGAGAGGGCUGAGAAUCAGGUGUGUCAGGAGGUGGGUGAGGGAGGAGAGGGCUGAGAAUCAGGUGUGUCAGGAGGUUGGUGAGGGAGGAGAGGGUUGAGAAUCAGGUGUGACAGGAGGUGGGUGAGGGAGGAGAGGGCUGAGAAUCAGGUGUGUCAGGAGGUUGGUGAGGGAGGAGAGGGCUGAGAAUCAGGUGUGACAGGAGGUUGGUGAGGGGAAGGGGCUGAGAAUCAGGUGUGUCAGGAGGUGGGUGAGGGAGGAGAGGGCUGAGAAUCAGGUGUGUCAGGAGGUGGGUGAGGGAGGAGAGGGCUGAGAAUCAGGAGUGUCAGGAGGUUGGUGAGGAAGGAGAGGUCUGAGAAUCAGGUGUGUCAGGAGGUUGGUGAGGGAGGAGAGGGCUGAGAAUCAGGUGUGUCAGGAGGUUGGUGAGGGAGGAGAGGGCUGAGAAUCAGGUGUGACAGGAGGUUGGUGAGGGGAAGGGGACUGAGAAUCAGGUGUGUCAGGAGGUUGGUGAGGGAGGAGAGGGCUGAGAAUCAGGUGUGUCAGGAGGUUGGUGAGGGGAAGGGGCUGAGAAAGGUGUGUCAGGAGGUUGGUGAGGGAGGAGAGGGCUGAGAAUCAGGUGUGUCAGGAGGUUGGUGAGGGGAAGGGGACUGAGAAUCAGGUGUGUCAGGAGGUGGGUGAGGGGAAGUGGACUGAGAAUCAGGUGUGUCAGGAGGUGGGUGAGGGGAAGGGGACUGAGAAUCAGGUGUGUCAGGAGGUGGGUGAGGGAGGAGAGGGCUGACAAUCAGGUGUGUCAGGAGGUUGGUGAGGGGAAGGGUCUGAGAAUCAGGUGUGUCAGGAGGUGGGUGAGGGGAAGGGGGGCUGCGAAUCAGGUGUGUCAGGAGGUGGGUGAGGAGAGGGCUGAGAAUCAAGUGUGUCAGGAGGUCGGUGAGGGGAAGUGGGCUGAGAAUCAGGUGUGUCAGGAGGUGGGUGAGGGGAAGUGGGCUGAGAAUCAGGUGUGUCAGGAGCUUGGUGAGGGGAAGUGGGCUGAGAAUCAGGUGUGUCAGGAGGUUGGUGAGGGGAAGGGGCUGAGAAUCAGGUGUGUCAGCAGGUGGGUGAGGGGAGGGCUGAGAAUCAAGUGUGUCAGGAGGUUGGUGAGGGAGGAGAGGGCUGAGAAUCAGGUGAGUCAGGAGAUUGGUGAGGGAGGAGAGGGCUGAGAAUCAGGUGUGUCAGGAGGUGGGUGAGGGAGGAGAGGGCUGAGAAUCAGGUGUGUCAGGAGGUGGGUGAGGGGAGGGGCUGAGAAUCAGGUGUGUCAGGAGGUGGGUGAGGGGAAGGGGCUGAGAAUCAGGUGUGUCAGGAGGUUGGUGAGGGAGGAGAGGGCUGAGAAUCAGGUGUGUCAGGAGGUGGGUGAGGGAGGAGAGGGCUGAGAAUCAGGUGUGUCAGGAGGUUGGUGAGGGAGGAGAGGGUUGAGAAUCAGGUGUGACAGGAGGUGGGUGAGGGAGGAGAGGGCUGAGAAUCAGGUGUGUCAGGAGGUUGGUGAGGGAGGAGAGGGCUGAGAAUCAGGUGUGACAGGAGGUUGGUGAGGGGAAGGGGCUGAGAAUCAGGUGUGUCCGGAGGUGGGUGAGGGAGGAGAGGGCUGAGAAUCAGGUGUGUCAGGAGGUGGGUGAGGGAGGAGAGGGCUGAGAAUCAGGAGUGUCAGGAGGUUGGUGAGGAAGGAGAGGUCUGAGAAUCAGGUGUGUCAGGAGGUGGGUGAGGGAGGAGAGGGCUGAGAAUCAGGUGUGUCAGGAGGUUGGUGAGGGAGGAGAGGGCUGAGAAUCAGGUGUGUCAGGAGGUUGGUGAGGGAGGAGAGGGCUGAGAAUCAGGUGUGACAGGAGGUUGGUGAGGGGAAGGGGACUGAGAAUCAGGUGUGUCAGGAGGUGGGUGAGGGAGGAGAGGGCUGAGAAUCAGGUGUGUCAGGAGGUUGGUGAGGGGAAGGGGCUGAGAAUCAGAUGUGUCAGGAGGUGGGUGAGGGAGGAGAGGGCUGACAAUCAGGUGUGUCAGGAGGUUGGUGAGGGGAAGGGUCUGAGAAUCAGGUGUGUCAGGAGGUUGGUGAGGGGAAGGGGCUGAGAAUCAGGUGUGUCAGGAGGUGGGUGAGGGGAAGGGGGGCUGAGAAUCAGGUGUGUCAGGAGGUGGGUGAGGAGAGGGCUGAGAAUCAAGUGUGUCAGGAGGUCGGUGAGGGGAAGUGGGCUGAGAAUCAGAUGUGUCAGGAGGUGGGUGAGGGAGGAGAGGGCUGACAAUCAGGUGUGUCAGGAGGUGGGUGAGGGGAAAGGGGGCUGAGAAUCAGGUGUGUCAGGAGGUUGGUGAGGGAGGAGAGGGCUGAGAAUCAGGUGUGUCAGCAGGUGGGUGAGGGGAAGGGGCUGAGAAUCAGGUGUGUCAGGAGGUUGGUGAGGGGAAGGGGCUGAGAAUCAGGUGUGUCAGGAGGUGGGUGAGGGGAAGGGGCUGAGAAUCAGGUGUGUCAGGAGGUGGGUGAGGGAGGAGAGGGCUGAGAAUCAGGUGUGUCAGGAGAUUGGUGAGGGAGGAGAGGGCUGAGAAUCAGGUGUGUCAGGAGGUGGGUGAGGGGAAGGGGACAGAGAAUCAGGUGUGUCAGGAGGUUGGUGAGGGGAAGGGGCUGAGAAUCAGGUGUGUCAGAAGGUUGGUGAGGGGAAG